AAGGGAAGCCAACGCAAUCACCGCAAGGAAUUUUUCUUUCCUACAUCGCCUGAUCAGUCGCCCCUGCAAUCUCUCCCGCGCGGUGGAUUUGGCCUUCCUCCGAAGUCGCCCUCGCCCUCGCCCGCUGGCCUCGCAGGACAUCGCACCCGUGUUGUCCCCGUCGCCCUCGCCGUUGCGAGCCGCGGCCGUCCUCGCCCGCUGCAUGUGCUCUACGAUCUCGGUGAGUCUUGCGGUUGUAUGCUUUCCCUCUCCCUCCCCCUCCCCCUACGCUGGAUGUGCAGCUGCCAAUCUACUAAGCUGCUUGGAGCCGCAGACUCAAAUCUCUCCCCACUGCCCCUCUCGUCAAUCGCUGCUAUUGCGCCUGUCGGAUCCUCACCUAUGCCUGCACGCUAGCUCGCCGCGGCGGCCGUGGCGUCGAGCUGCCGACCAGCGGGCCCGUGCCCCCGCGCAGCUGUUGUAACGGCGGCCAGCCAACAUCUUGGCCACGAAAGAGGCAGAGGAUGAGGUGCCAAGGGAGCAGGCGGUGGCGUUCGUGGUGGACUCUGUUUCCCUCAAUAUGGGAUCCUGAGUUGUUGAUGUUUCUUUGCGCAUAUGUAAUCAGUGGAGGCGAAGGUGGUGUUGGUCUCUGUGCUGAUUAUGCAGGGCCAGUUCGGCAGGACCUCUGUGUGGAGCAAGCCAACAACAAGGAGUUCAUGUGCAAGUCCAUCCUUAUCCUCGAGACCCACUCGCCCGGUUUGGGGAAAACAAAAUCAAUGACACACUACUAGACCCCGCUUGGCCCAGGAGUAAUCGAAUGAAAAAUUUAGAUCUAAAUCAAGGCUACUUUGCUUCAUUCCUGGUAAUCUAAUACUACCCAAUUUUGUGAUUUUUGAGUGGUAAUUGGAUCUAUACUUUUUUCUUGUUUUUCUAUAGCCAUUGCUUUCUACCCAGUAGCAGCAGCCGUAGGUCAAAGCACAUCAGCCGGCUGAUUUAUAGAACUAUGGAUGUUGCCCAUGCAGCUACUGAUUUUAUAUAGCUAUAUAAGCGCUUGUCUAAAACUCAUAGAAAUCAGCUACUGAUCCACAUAGAACUAUGGUUGUCACAGAUUCACAUCAGCUAAUUUAUUCUUUAGCUACUAAUUUAUAGAACGAUAUUGCCGCUGCUGCUUCUGACCUAUAGAAAAUCAUAGCAUCCAUAGUAACCAGUUUUUAUAAAGCAGACAGCGAGCUACUAUAGUUUGUUACAUUUUCUGAAAGUUAUUUGAGCUAACGAAACCACAUUGUGCUUAAGAAAUAAUUGUAACAUGAUUUUUUUUGCAAAUGAUUUGCGUUUUCUGCAAGUGUAAAAGUUCGUUGGUAACGUAUUCUACUUGAACAAGCCUAUACUGGUUGAAGGCCACCAGGAGAAACUGAAUAUCACGCUCGGCAUUGGAACUGUCCCAGUGCUUCUGCAAAAGCUCGGCAUUGGAACUGUCCCAGUGCUUCUGCAAAAGUUGCUUCAAUAACUGUGAUGAGCUCACUGCAAUUGGUCAUCACGGUUGCCACUAUAGGAUGACUAGCGAGCGGUUGAAGUGGAGAAGGCAGCACAGGCAGCACAUACUCCAUUGAUCUCUUGUGUGAUUUUGGUAUUGGGUGGAUCUUGGCUCGAGAAAUAUGAGUCAAUUUGAUGGGAUGAGCUGCAAUUUGUUAGGCUCGAGAAAUAUCAAUUGAUUCAUGAGCUCCAGCUGAAUUUUCGCGGAGAACGCUUUUGCGGCGAGGUUGAGCCAGCAACCACGCAGGGUGACCUGAGAAAGUUGCAUAUGGAGUAGUAGAUAAGGCCAGAUACUGCACUUCUCUUCCUGUUUGGAUUUACCAAGCACCUAUUUUUUGUGUACAGACCACAAUUAUUUUUUAGUGGAUUAAUUGUGAAUGCUUAUUCUAGCACAUGAUACUAAAUAGGUGUAUCUAUGAUUUAUGAUUUUCUCAUUUGCUUUGCCUUCCUUCCCUGACUAAGUGUCACUUGAUAAAUUCUUUUCCAUUAUAUGCCAAGCAAGUUGUCUCCCUCUGUUGUGCAUAUUGAUCAAAUGGAACACGAGUCACAAGAAGCUUCAACAUUGAUAGAUCAUUAUUAUGAUUUCCAAAGGUGGUCUCUUGUUUCAAAUUUGGAGAUAUGAUUACCAUGGAGAUUGGAUGAUUUCAUUACAGACAUAUCUCGAUAUUAGGGAGUCCUGGUUUUAAUUUGAACACAACUGAAAAUAAUGCAGGCAUAGGUAAUCCAGUUUAGUUUGAUUAUCAUUUUGGAGUAUGUACUUGUUUAGCUCCUCUUGGGCAGUUUUGGCGCCGCACGCAAAUUUAUUUGUGCAAGCUUAGCUUCGCUCUCAUUUCAUUUACUGCCCAAAGCUCUACUUCUAUAUUCAUUGACCGCUCAUAGACCUAUUAAAAUUAUGUUGGAUAUUACAACCAAAAGAUCUAUAAUUAAAUAUAACAUAACUAUCUUAUUGAACUAAAGUCAAGCGGGUUCAAAGAUAAAAUAUAAAAUCUAACUUAUUCGUGCAAUGCAGUUUCAAACCUACAACUAAUGCAAAACUAUCAUUUGUCAGGUGAUUUGUUCUUAUUUUUUUGUCAGGUGAUUCUGCUGUCGUGGCGGAAGCAGCAUCCGUGCAAGUCGCGGGCGCAGGUGUGUGGCCUGUGCGUGGAGAUCGUGGAGGGCGCGAAUGUCAUGGCAGUGUGAAGAUAGUGCCCUUGCUGGUGGUGUCGACGAUGGUGUCCUCGGUGGUGGGUAUAUAUGGCAGUGAUUCUGCUGUCGCGGUAGAGGCAGCAGCCGAGCAAGCGGGUCUCCCUUAGCCAAUGGCGAGCAUGGUAGGGGCGUGUAGGCGGACCAUCUAGCGAGCCUGUGCCACCACAUGUUCCACUAAGUAGGUCAUGGCCGCGCGAUGUUGAUGUGUUUCGAGUGUUUGACUCUUUUUUUUUAUAUGUUGCAAGCCCAUAUUUCAAGUGUUUCA
Sorghum bicolor (sorghum) is the source of this 2959-nucleotide RNA transcript. RefSeq lists it as uncharacterized. NCBI's taxonomy places the organism in Eukaryota, Viridiplantae, Streptophyta, Magnoliopsida, Poales, Poaceae. The transcript is spliced from 5 exons. The record is from RefSeq and is a predicted model, not a curated record.